UCAGGCGUCCAGAAAAGCAGCCCAUUGUCUUCGAAAGGAGAGUCUCAGAGGAAGUUGUAUCUCAGACUCUGGAGAGGAAGACCCAGCAGUGUGUGCUUUUGCACAGCAGCCUGACAGGACAUCAGUAAUGCGUCACAGCACUGGAAACCUGCCCUCCAUCAGACUGAACAACACCUUAAUAUGGGUAUCUUGGCUUGGACUCUGGAGGGUUCCCAUGGGUUUAUUUGGGAGAAAAGGUAGAGAGCUAAGUGAUGAGCUCCCUCGAAGUAAAAACACAGUGGGACUUCCGUUCUCCAUUCCCAACUACUGUCAUAGUUAAUCAAAUCGGUUUCAUAUUGUCAUUUGCUGGAUACUUCCUAACAUGAAUAUUUAAUACUUAAUUUAGUUUUUAAAUGGUUGCU
Molecule: long non-coding RNA, 401 nt
Organism: Cervus elaphus (red deer)
Lineage: Eukaryota; Metazoa; Chordata; Mammalia; Artiodactyla; Cervidae
Exons: 3
Source: RefSeq, a predicted model, not a curated record